CCUACGGGUGGCUGCAGUGAGGAAUAUUGGUCAAUGGACUUACGCCUGAACCAGCCAAGUCGCGUGAAGGAAGACUGCCCUAUGGGUUGUAAACCUCUUUUGUCAGGGAGCAAAUUGCGCUACGUGUAGCCUUAUCGAGAGUACCUGAAGAAAAGGCAUCGGCUAACUCGGUGCAAGCGGCCGCGGUAAUACGGAGGAUGCGAGGUUUAUCCGGAUUUUUUGGGUUUAAGGGGUGCGUAGGCGGAAUGCCAAGUCAGCGGUAAAAUCGCGGGGCUAAACCUAGCUUCGCCGUUGAAACUGGCGUUCUUGAGUGGGCGAGAAGUAGGCGGAAUGCGUGGUGUAGCGGUGAAAUGCAUAGAUAUCACGAAGAACUCCGAUUGCGAAGGCAGCAUACCGGCGCCCAACUGACGCUGAAGCACGAAAGUGUGGGUAUCGAACAGGAUUAGAUACCCGGGUAGUC
Molecule: ribosomal RNA, 460 nt
Filed under: uncultured bacterium
Lineage: Bacteria
Description: partial 16S ribosomal RNA
Rfam family: Bacterial small subunit ribosomal RNA
Source: RNAcentral